This 85-nucleotide transfer RNA is filed under the name Felis catus (domestic cat). It matches the Rfam family "tRNA". Rfam says of the family: Transfer RNA (tRNA) molecules are approximately 80 nucleotides in length. Lineage: Eukaryota; Metazoa; Chordata; Mammalia; Carnivora; Felidae. The record is from Rfam by way of RNAcentral. RNAcentral also lists the same sequence under 1 other name.
GCCUGGGUGGCUUAGUCGGUUAAGUGUCUGACUUCAGCUCAGGUCAUGAUCUCGCAGCCCGUGAGUUCGAGCCCUGCAUCAGGCU